GGUUAAGCGACUAAGCGUACACGGUGGAUGCCCUGGCAGUCAGAGGCGAUGAAGGACGUGCUAAUCUGCGAAAAGCGUCGGUAAGGUGAUAUGAACCGUUAUAACCGGCGAUGUCCGAAUGGGGAAACCCAGUGCAAUUCGUUGCACUAUCGUUAACUGAAUACAUAGGUUAACGAGGCGAACCGGGGGAACUGAAACAUCUAAGUACCCCGAGGAAAAGAAAUCAACCGAGAUUCCCCCAGUAGCGGCGAGCGAACGGGGAGCAGCCCAGAGUCUGAAUCAGCUUGUGUGUUAGUGGAACGGUCUGGAAAGUCCGACGGUACAGGGUGAUAGUCCCGUACACCAAAAUGCACAGGCUGUGAACUCGAAGAGUAGGGCGGGACACGUGGUAUCCUGUCUGAAUAUGGGGGGACCAUCCUCCAAGGCUAAAUACUCCUGACUGACCGAUAGUGAACCAGUACCGUGAGGGAAAGGCGAAAAGAACCCCGGCGAGGGGAGUGAAAAAGAACCUGAAACCGUGUACGUACAAGCAGUGGGAGCACCUUCGGGUGUGACUGCGUACCUUUUGUAUAAUGGGUCAGCGACUUAUAUUCUGUAGCAAGGUUAACCGUAUAGGGGAGCCGCAGGGAAACCGAGUCUUAACUGGGCGUUAAGUUGCAGGGUAUAGACCCGAAACCCGGUGAUCUAGCCAUGGGCAGGUUGAAGGUUGGGUAACACUAACUGGAGGACCGAACCGACUAAUGUUGAAAAAUUAGCGGAUGACUUGUGGCUGGGGGUGAAAGGCCAAUCAAACCGGGAGAUAGCUGGUUCUCCCCGAAAGCUAUUUAGGUAGCGCCUCGUGAACUCAUCUUCGGGGGUAGAGCACUGUUUCGGCUAGGGGGUCAUCCCGACUUACCAACCCGAUGCAAACUACGAAUACCGAAGAAUGUUAUCACGGGAGACACACGGCGGGUGCUAACGUCCGUCGUGAAGAGGGAAACAACCCAGACCGCCAGCUAAGGUCCCAAAGUCAUGGUUAAGUGGGAAACGAUGUGGGAAGGCACAGACAGCCAGGAUGUUGGCUUAGAAGCAGCCAUCAUUUAAAGAAAGCGUAAUAGCUCACUGGUCGAGUCGGCCUGCGCGGAAGAUGUAACGGGGCUAAACCAUGCACCGAAGCUGCGGCAGCGACACUAUGUGUUGUUGGGUAGGGGAGCGUUCUGUAAGCCUGCGAAGGUGUGCUGUGAGGCAUGCUGGAGGUAUCAGAAGUGCGAAUGCUGACAUAAGUAACGAUAAAGCGGGUGAAAAGCCCGCUCGCCGGAAGACCAAGGGUUCCUGUCCAACGUUAAUCGGGGCAGGGUGAGUCGACCCCUAAGGCGAGGCCGAAAGGCGUAGUCGAUGGGAAACAGGUUAAUAUUCCUGUACUUGGUGUUACUGCGAAGGGGGGACGGAGAAGGCUAUGUUAGCCGGGCGACGGUUGUCCCGGUUUAAGCAUGUAGGCUGGUUGUCCAGGCAAAUCCGGAUAAUCAAGGCUGAGGUGUGAUGACGAGGCACUACGGUGCUGAAGUAACAAAUGCCCUGCUUCCAGGAAAAGCCUCUAAGCAUCAGGUAACAUUAAAUCGUACCCCAAACCGACACAGGUGGUCAGGUAGAGAAUACCAAGGCGCUUGAGAGAACUCGGGUGAAGGAACUAGGCAAAAUGGUGCCGUAACUUCGGGAGAAGGCACGCUGGUGUGUAGGUGAAGUCCCUGCGGAUGGAGCUGAGACCAGUCGAAGAUACCAGCUGGCUGCAACUGUUUAUUAAAAACACAGCACUGUGCAAACACGAAAGUGGACGUAUACGGUGUGACGCCUGCCCGGUGCCGGAAGGUUAAUUGAUGGGGUUAUCCGUAAGGAGAAGCUCUUGAUCGAAGCCCCGGUAAACGGCGGCCGUAACUAUAACGGUCCUAAGGUAGCGAAAUUCCUUGUCGGGUAAGUUCCGACCUGCACGAAUGGCGUAAUGAUGGCCAGGCUGUCUCCACCCGAGACUCAGUGAAAUUGAACUCGCUGUGAAGAUGCAGUGUACCCGCGGCAAGACGGAAAGACCCCGUGAACCUUUACUAUAGCUUGACACUGAACAUUGAGCCUUGAUGUGUAGGAUAGGUGGGAGGCUUUGAAGCGUGGACGCCAGUCUGCGUGGAGCCAACCUUGAAAUACCACCCUUUAAUGUUUGAUGUUCUAACGUUGGCCCCUGACCGGGGUUGCGGACAGUGUCUGGUGGGUAGUUUGACUGGGGCGGUCUCCUCCCAAAGCGUAACGGAGGAGCACGAAGGUUAGCUAAUCCUGGUCGGACAUCAGGAGGUUAGUGCAAUGGCAUAAGCUAGCUUGACUGCGAGCGUGACGGCGCGAGCAGGUGCGAAAGCAGGUCAUAGUGAUCCGGUGGUUCUGAAUGGAAGGGCCAUCGCUCAACGGAUAAAAGGUACUCCGGGGAUAACAGGCUGAUACCGCCCAAGAGUUCAUAUCGACGGCGGUGUUUGGCACCUCGAUGUCGGCUCAUCACAUCCUGGGGCUGAAGUAGGUCCCAAGGGUAUGGCUGUUCGCCAUUUAAAGUGGUACGCGAGCUGGGUUUAGAACGUCGUGAGACAGUUCGGUCCCUAUCUGCCGUGGGCGCUGGAGAAUUGAGGGGGGCUGCUCCUAGUACGAGAGGACCGGAGUGGACGCAUCACUGGUGUUCGGGUUGUCAUGCCAAUGGCACUGCCCGGUAGCUAAAUGCGGAAGAGAUAAGUGCUGAAAGCAUCUAAGCACGAAACUUGCCCCGAGAUGAGUUCUCCCUGAGACUUUAAGUCUCCUGAAGGAACGUU
RNAcentral lists this ribosomal RNA (2816 nucleotides) under Klebsiella pneumoniae. Its description in RNAcentral is "partial 23S ribosomal RNA". It matches the Rfam family "Bacterial large subunit ribosomal RNA". Lineage: Bacteria; Pseudomonadati; Pseudomonadota; Gammaproteobacteria; Enterobacterales; Enterobacteriaceae. The record is from RNAcentral.